Molecule: transfer RNA, 66 nt
Filed under: Asteronotus hepaticus
Lineage: Eukaryota; Metazoa; Mollusca; Gastropoda; Nudibranchia; Asteronotidae
Description: tRNA-Ile
Source: RNAcentral
AAGUAGACGCCGGAUGAACGGGUAUCAUUGAUGUUGAUAAUCAUAGAACGAGAGUUCUUCUACUUU